GUGAAGGAGGGCUUUCCGGUGGUGGUGGUGGAUUUGUUGGCGGGCUGGGUGAUGUAAUAGGAGUAGUAGGAGGAGCUUCAGUUGGUGGAGGUGGCGGGGGAGAAGAUUCUGGUGGAGGUGAUGAUACUGGAUUCGCUGGAGGAGGAGCUUCAGUUGGUAAAGGUGGUGGGGGAGAAGGUUCUGGUGGAGGAGAUACUGGAAUCGUCGUCGGAGGAGGUCCAGUUAGUGAAGGUGAUGGGGGAGAAGGUUCUGGUGGUGGUGAUGAUAGUGGAGUCUCAGGAGGAGGAGAAGACUGAGCUGGGGUGUUUGUGGUCUCUGGUGGAUUGCCAUUAGUGGGCUCUCUAGU
This 346-nucleotide long non-coding RNA is filed under the name Arabidopsis thaliana (thale cress). RNAcentral describes it as "long non-coding RNA (ATHA_LNC000399)". The record is from RNAcentral. Lineage: Eukaryota; Viridiplantae; Streptophyta; Magnoliopsida; Brassicales; Brassicaceae.